RNAcentral lists this ribosomal RNA (497 nucleotides) under uncultured bacterium. Its description in RNAcentral is "partial 16S ribosomal RNA". It matches the Rfam family "Bacterial small subunit ribosomal RNA", at positions 28 to 507 of the family's 1533-position model. The record is from RNAcentral.
GAUGAACGCUGGCGGCGUGCCUAAUACAUGCAAGUCGAGCGAACAGACGAGGAGCUUGCUCCUCUGACGUUAGCGGCGGACGGGUGAGUAACACGUGGAUAACCUACCUAUAAGACUGGGAUAACUUCGGGAAACCGGAGCUAGUACCGGAUCAUAUAUUGAACCGCAUGGUUCAAUGGUGAAAGACGGUUUUGCUGUCACUUAUAGAUGGAUCCGCGCCGCAUUAGCUAGUUGGUAAGGUAACGGCUUACCAAGGCAACGAUGCGUAGCCGACCUGAGAGGGUGAUCGGCCACACUGGAACUGAGACACGGUCCAGACUCCUACGGGAGGCAGCAGUAGGGAAUCUUCCGCAAUGGGCGAAAGCUUGACGGAGCAACGCCGCGUGAGUGAUGAAGGUCUUCGGAUCGUAAAACUCUGUUAUUAGGGAAGAACAAAUGUGUAAGUAACUAUGCACGUCUUGACGGUACCUAAUCAGAAAGCCACGGCUAACUACGUG